GGAGGCUUGUAUGAAUGGUUGGACAAGAAGCAAACUGUCUCAAACACAAAAAUUGAAUUUGACUUUUAAGUGAAAAGGCUUAAAUAUUUUAAAGGGACGAUAAGACCCUAUAAAGCUUAAUAAUUUAGUAUAUAAUUAGAUGAGUUGAAAGUUUAAUAUUAUUUAUAUACUAAAUUAUUUCGUUGGGGCGACGAUGAUAUAAUUUGUAACUGUUUAAAUUUAAAAUACAGAGAUAUUUGUGUGUAAUGAUCCUUGUUGUUGAUUAAAAAUUUAAGUUACUUUAGGGAUAACAGC
This 294-nucleotide ribosomal RNA is filed under the name Homarus americanus (American lobster). RNAcentral's name for it is "partial 16S ribosomal RNA". Lineage: Eukaryota; Metazoa; Arthropoda; Malacostraca; Decapoda; Nephropidae. The record is from RNAcentral.